UGUGUGUUAGUGGAAGCGUCUGGAAAGGCGCGCGAUACAGGGUGACAGCCCCGUACACAAAAAUGCACAUGCUGUGAGCUCGAUGAGUAGGGCGGGACACGUGGUAUCCUGUCUGAAUAUGGGGGGACCAUCCUCCAAGGCUAAAUACUCCUGACUGACCGAUAGUGAACCAGUACCGUGAGGGAAAGGCGAAAAGAACCCCGGCGAGGGGAGUGAAAAAGAACCUGAAACCGUGUACGUACAAGCAGUGGGAGCACGCUUAGGCGUGUGACUGCGUACCUUUUGUAUAAUGGGUCAGCGACUUAUAUUCUGUAGCAAGGUUAACCGAAUAGGGGAGCCGAAGGGAAACCGAGUCUUAACUGGGCGUUAAGUUGCAGGGUAUAGACCCGAAACCCGGUGAUCUAGCCAUGGGCAGGUUGAAGGUUGGGUAACACUAACUGGAGGACCGAACCGACUAAUGUUGAAAAAUUAGCGGAUGACUUGUGGCUGGGGGUGAAAGGCCAAUCAAACCGGGAGAUAGCUGGUUCUCCCCGAAAGCUAUUUAGGUAGCGCCUCGUGAAUUCAUCUCCGGGGGUAGAGCACUGUUUCGGCAAGGGGGUCAUCCCGACUUACCAACCCGAUGCAAACUGCGAAUACCGGAGAAUGUUAUCACGGGAGACACACGGCGGGUGCUAACGUCCGUCGUGAAGAGGGAAACAACCCAGACCGCCAGCUAAGGUCCCAAAGUCAUGGUUAAGUGGGAAACGAUGUGGGAAGGCCCAGACAGCCAGGAUGUUGGCUUAGAAGCAGCCAUCAUUUAAAGAAAGCGUAAUAGCUCACUGGUCGAGUCGGCCUGCGCGGAAGAUGUAACGGGGCUAAACCAUGCACCGAAGCUGCGGCAGCGACGCUGAUGCGUUGUUGGGUAGGGGAGCGUUCUGUAAGCCUGCGAAGGUGUGCUGUGAGGCAUGCUGGAGGUAUCAGAAGUGCGAAUGCUGACAUAAGUAACGAUAAAGCGGGUGAAAAGCCCGCUCGCCGGAAGACCAAGGGUUCCUGUCCAACGUUAAUCGGGGCAGGGUGAGUCGACCCCUAAGGCGAGGCCGAAAGGCGUAGUCGAUGGGAAACAGGUUAAUAUUCCUGUACUUGG
RNAcentral lists this ribosomal RNA (1123 nucleotides) under Escherichia coli. Its description in RNAcentral is "partial 23S ribosomal RNA". It matches the Rfam family "Bacterial large subunit ribosomal RNA", at positions 323 to 1448 of the family's 2925-position model. The record is from RNAcentral. Lineage: Bacteria; Pseudomonadati; Pseudomonadota; Gammaproteobacteria; Enterobacterales; Enterobacteriaceae.